GGGACCCCGCCCCCGCCCCGCGCGGGACGCGGAGCUGGCCGAGGCCUAGGAGCAGCCGCAGCGGAGCGUUCCCCGGGUGCUCGCUCCCCCGCGCCGCAGCGUGAGCGGUGGGGAGACUCUGUUUAAAGUAGUUUUAGUGGCCUCCUUAAGCCUGCGUCCGCCCCGCCGUGUUCCUACCGUGUCCCGGGGUCCUCAGCAGCGCCAGGCACAAACUAGUCUUCAUAGCUGUUGCACGGGUGACCGAAUGAAGGUAUAAACUGGGGGCGUCGAGGGACCCCCCCCCAGGUCUUUCCACGUCACCAGAUUGUCCCAUUUUGCAUCCCGCCUGCAUUGGACAAGCCUCCCUCCAUCCCUGUGGCCUUGACAGCUGAGGAGGGUAUCCAACUUUUGAAUGUGUGCCAAUUUGAUAGGUGGGAGAUGCACAGGGCAGGGACCGUGCCCGUCUUGUCCAGCUUCCGGCCCGUACGUACCCAGCACUAGUAGGCAUUCAACGUGCAUGGAAAGGAACUAGUAUUUUAAUCUUCAUUGUGACAGUAAGAAAUCUGAAACAAAAGAGAUUAAAUAAACGAUUUGCCAAAGUCAUCGUUGCCGCGCGUCACAGAUGGACAUGGAUCUAGAUGUCCCACUUCUGCCGCCGCAGCGCCUGGCUGGGGACUCGCAGCCCCCGUGCCGACUUCCUGGUUCAUUUUCUUGCCUUCGAAAUUUGGUGCCACAGUGAAGCCCUGUUCUCAGAAGUGCCCCGGUUAGACAGCGCCAUUGAUUGGAAAUUGAUUUCACAGAGAAAAGCAUCAGGUGGUCCUGAUGCAAGAGGGCACUGAACUGUCCUGCUGCUCUGGGCUGGAUCCUAAAGAACCGACUGCAUAUGCAAAGGGACAAUGGCCGGAGCAUAUAUCAAAAUAGAACUUGGACCCACGACCUGCAACAAGACCUGCCCAAGAACCAACCCCCUUAACUGCGAUCAACACCGUGGGAUGCCAGCCUGUCGUGAGUCAGACCUGCAGGAAGCCAAAUGGCCGUCUCAAGCGACAAUCCAGGAAGCUAAACAGUAACUCAGUAACAAGCCAAAAUGCACAGGACUUGAUUAAUAACCAAGAGCUUUCCUAAUUUUUGCCACUGCUUCUGACUUAGGGCCGACCAGAGAAAGCCAGAUAUGUAUCCCUAACCAAUCGCACGAGUGGCCCCACUUCUAGUUGGCGGCCAGCAGGGGAAGCAGCGUCUAAAAUGUGCGUACCUGCGGCCUGCCCAGUUCCCACUCCACAGCUUGCCCGCUCCGCUCCGCUGCCGCCUGCGCAUCUCGCCAAAGCGCAGCGGUGGUGGCAACUCCCUCGCUAUAGCAAGUUCAGGAAAAAUAGCCUUCGCUUUUCUCACUUGGUUGGUCUUCGCUUAUUUCCAGUUAGCAGGACUGAGGCGAUUUAAAUACACAUCCAUGUAUGCGUAAAAUAUGCACACACCCACAGAAAGCACAGAGAUACUUGUUAUUUUUAAAGCUAGUUUUAAUCUGCAAAUAACUAAAAUUUUAAUUGCAGAAUUUUUUGGCAAAUAUCUAAGUAAAAGUGUGUCUAAGCCAAGCGUGGGCACUUUUCCAGACACUACUGUAUCCAAAAUGUCUUGGCUCUAAAUUUGCAGAGAGUUAUCUUCAAAGUGUAACCUCUGCUUUGGUUUGAUUGAGAGAGGGGGGCUAGUCCCCGGGAGGGGAGCACCCCCCUUCUCCAGCACACUGCUGCCUCGGGAUGGUGAAACCAGACAGAUGCCAGACACUUCGGGCUGGGGGCUGCGGGCCGUGCAUAGCAGAGACCUUUCUCUCUUCCUCACAUGGGCUUCCACAGUCUGAAACCACAUGUGGGCAGAGACACAGAGGGCUUCGGAUACCGCCGGACAAGAGGGACCCUGGGGUCAGGGUAGGAAGGGGAGGGCUCGUGAGGUCACUGUGAGGUGGGGAGGAAUGAACCAACCGAAGAUCGAAUUGGUCCCUGUGAACUAAAAUAAAUUAAGGUAGCCUGCAAAUAAUUCAGCUAUGACCAAGCAUAUAACAUUUUUAUUAAAACUUUCUAUCUAGGCCGGGCGCGGUGGCUCACGCCUGUAAUCCUAGCACUCUG
This is a non-coding RNA of Microcebus murinus (gray mouse lemur), 2096 nucleotides long. NCBI's taxonomy places the organism in Eukaryota, Metazoa, Chordata, Mammalia, Primates, Cheirogaleidae. The record is from RefSeq and is a predicted model, not a curated record.